Molecule: ribosomal RNA, 417 nt
Filed under: Triticum aestivum (bread wheat)
Lineage: Eukaryota; Viridiplantae; Streptophyta; Magnoliopsida; Poales; Poaceae
Description: partial small subunit ribosomal RNA
Source: RNAcentral
AUGAAGAUGCACCGCGCAUGCAAAAUCUGUGGAGAAAUAGGACACACCGAUAAGGAACACCAAGAUGGAUGCCCCUAUUGUGAAGCGAGUCACUUGGGUGAAGAAUGUCCCACUACGCGAGUCACCUGUUUCAUGUGUGAAGGGACUAACCACAAUCCAGCCCAGUGUCGUCUACUCACCACGACACAAGAAGUGGUUCAGCAACAGAGGAAAGGAAUGAAGAAGGCUGUCCAGGAAAUCAUCAUGAAGAGAAGGGCUUUAGUUACUUGCCAUAAGUGUAGGAGCAAGGGGCACUACGCCAGCGUGUGUCCAGAAGUGAUAACAGAGAGAGAAAGAUGGGCGCGCUACUCCAGCCCGUGUCCAGAAAAGAAAAGAGGGAGAGGGAGAUGGGAAGCUUGGAGCAAACAAGCGCCAUGA